UGUACGCACAGGUGCAACAGCGUUGAUUCGGACCCCCGAGGCUGCCCACUCGAUGGCGAGACUCUUAGUUAAGUUAUCCACCGCUGCCCUCGCUGCUCCUGUGUGGCUGUCGGGGAGAGGAGACACACCGCGCAGCAGAUUUGUGUGUAAAUAAUGAGGGAAACUGUUCUUACGCCGCAUCUGGGAAGCCGUUCCACAUGUUAGCGAUGAUGCUGACGAUGGCUCCUCCGUGCUCCUUCAUCCAUGCUGUGUAGACUGGAGGGGAGAACAACGACGGUCACGCUGAGAGACCAAACCACAAACACCAAAGCCUGUGUUAUCUGUGCCCAGCUCACCCUCUUUGCAGCAGUGGAAGGUUCCUGUCAGGUUGGUGUCUACCACAGCCUUCCAGCCCUUAGAGGACAUGUCUUCUGCAGGGCUUCUGAACUGACCUCCUCCGUUGUUCACCAGAAAGUCUAUACGGUCAUAUCGCUUCAGCACUGAUGACACAAGAGCCUUCACCUUCAAAUGACAGAAAGACAAAAAGAAAAUCAGCCACUUACGCACUGAAA
Long non-coding RNA from Oreochromis niloticus (Nile tilapia), 551 nucleotides. RefSeq lists it as uncharacterized. NCBI's taxonomy places the organism in Eukaryota, Metazoa, Chordata, Actinopteri, Cichliformes, Cichlidae. The transcript is spliced from 2 exons. The record is from RefSeq and is a predicted model, not a curated record.